Molecule: unclassified non-coding RNA, 208 nt
Filed under: Hevea brasiliensis (rubber tree)
Lineage: Eukaryota; Viridiplantae; Streptophyta; Magnoliopsida; Malpighiales; Euphorbiaceae
Source: RNAcentral
AUUUAAGUAAAAAAGAAAUUUUAAAAUAGUCAAGUUAUAAUUAAGAUAUAUAAAAUACUUAAUUCUAAAUUUUGUAUAUAUCAUGACACCUCUAGGUCUAAAUAUUGUGUUUGUCACUGCAGAAGGUUCUAGAAAUUCAAGAUAUUAAAGAAAGUAACCUCACUUUUAUUUUUGUAUUCUUCCCAGGUGUGGACUGCGAGUCCAUAGG